This is a long non-coding RNA of Brassica oleracea var. oleracea, 621 nucleotides long. RefSeq lists it as uncharacterized. The transcript has 2 exons. The record is from RefSeq and is a predicted model, not a curated record. NCBI's taxonomy places the organism in Eukaryota, Viridiplantae, Streptophyta, Magnoliopsida, Brassicales, Brassicaceae.
AAAACAGCACGAUUUGUUAAUAAAACAACAUGAUGUUUAAUUAGAUGCAUGUAGUUUACCAUUCCAACUUUAAUUCCUGUCGUAAAAAUUCCCGGAGUGUCGAGAGCUUAGAAUGAUGAACCCUAAUUCGUGAAAGGGAGGGGCUUUGAGUUUCGUUUGGUUCUUGUGAGAAUUCGAGACUGGGUUUGAGAGAGGGUGAGUUUGAGUUUGGUGAGAAAGUUGAAAUCAAGAAGGUUCCUGUGGGUUUGAAAUCGAAAAGUGAAAGAGUAUAUUCGGGAGCCGCUGGAAGACGGACAGAGAACAUGAAUAAGUUCUUUUAUUCCCCGUCUGGAAUUGUCGAUCAUAGUAGGAAGGAUAUAUGUUGUGAUACAGAUGUGGUGGAGAUGGUGAACGCCUCAAGUGAACUGGAAAGCAUAAAUCUUUUUGUUGUAAGAGCUGAUGAUCAGUUCUUAUUGGAGGAGAAGAAGAGGAAGAAGAACCUACGAGUGAUCAUUUGAAGUUUGAACCAUUUACAUUAAGUUAAAUUUGUUGCUUGUUGCUAUGUGUUUUAAAGCGUUAUGUUAUUAGUUUCUUCCAACGACAAGUGCAAAAAAUAGUUUUAAAUGUCAUGUUAUUAAACAA